GUCAGUUGAGACUUCCGAACUUGAGGGUAGAAGAGGAAAGUGGAAUUCCCGGUGUAGCGGUGAAAUGCGUAGAUAUCGGGAGGAACACCAGUGGCGAAGGCGGCUUUCUGGUCUACCCCUGACGUUGAGGAGCGAAAGCCAGGGGAGCAAACGGGAUUAGAUACCCCGGUAGUCCUGGCCCUAAACGAUGGAUACUAGGUGUAGAAGGUAUCGACCCCUUCUGUGCCGCAGUUAACACAUUAAGUAUCCCGCCUGGGGAGUACGGUCGCAAGGCUGAAACUCAAAGGAAUUGACGGGGGCCCGCACAAGCGGUGGAGCAUGUGGUUUAAUUCGACGCAACGCGAAGAACCUUACCGGGGCUUGACAUCUUUCUGACCGCCUGGGAAACCAGGUCUUCUUCCUUCGGGAAGACAGAAAGACAGGUGGUGCAUGGUUGUCGUCAGCUCGUGUCGUGAGAUGUUGGGUUAAGUCCCACAACGAGCGCAACCCUUGUCCUUAUUUGCCAGCCUGUUUACAGGUGCACUUUAAGGAGACUGCCGUAGAUAAUACGGAGGAAGGUGGGGAUGACGUCAAAUCCUCAUGCCCCUUACGUCCCGGGCUACACACGUGCUACAAUGGUCUGUACAAAGGGUGACCAAGGAGCGAUCCGGAGUCAAUCCCAAAAAGCAGGCCCCAGUUCGGAUUGGAGGCUGCAACUCGCCUCCAUGAAGUCGGAAUCGCUAGUAAUCGCGGAUCAGCAUGCCGCGGUGAAUCCGUUCCCGGGCCUUGUACACACCGCCCGUCACACCACGAAAGUUGGCGAUACCUGAAGUUACCAUACCAACCCUUCGGGGAGGAAGGUACCGAGGGUAUGGUCAGCGAUUGGGGUGAAGUCGUAACAAGGUAGCCGUAUCGGAAGGUGCGGCUGGAUCACCUCCUUUCUAAGGAGUAAGGUCGAUUAUUGGCUGGGUGCUAGAUUGGGGAUGUAGCUCAGUUGGGAGAGCGCCGCCUUUGCACGGCGGAGGUCAGCGGUUCAAGCCCGCUCAUCUCCACCAAAAUAGUAUAAAGAAGUAUAACGUAUUACGUAUAUCGUAUAACGUAAAAUUAAAAUACAGUAAUGAGUAAUAAGUGAUGAGCAAAGAAGUGGUUCUGAAUACCAAUAACUGGAAACUGAUAACUAUAAACUACUAAGAUAGUAUCGAGUCGUGAGUAUCGAGUCUGAAGAACUGCUACUUACAGGUUUCUUGUCUUGAAGUAACGACUAAUUAUGUUCUUUGAUAAUCGAAUAGAAAGGUAGCAAGAAAAAAGAUCUUCCAUUAUAGAGAGAUACGGUCAAGUUGAAAAGGGUAUACGGUGGAUGCCUUGGUACCAGUAGGCGAAGAAGGACGUGGUUAACUGCGAUAAGCCUCGGGGAGCCGUAAGCAGGCUGUGAUCCGGGGAUCUCCCAAUGGGGAAACCCACCCGAGCAAACCUCGGGUAUCCUGGUCUGAAUUCAUAGGACCAGGAGGCGACACGGGGGGAAUUGAAACAUCUUAGUACCCCCAGGAAGAGAAAGUAAUAACGAUUCCCUAAGUAGCGGCGAGCGAACGGGGAAGAGCCCAAACGCAGGAGGUGUGAUAGCCGGCAGGCGUUGCCUCUUGCGGGUUGUGGGGCCUGAUAGGUCUCUGCUGCCGCAGAGAUAGAGAGUUACCAAAUCAUUGGUUAGCCAAAGUGAGCUUGGAAAACUCCACCCAAGCGGGUGAUAGUCCCUUAGGCGAAAGCUAAUGAUCUCUCCUUCAGGUUCCCGAGUAGCACGGGUUAAGGGAAGUCCUGUGUGAAGCUGGGAGGACCACCUCCCAAGGCUAAAUACUAACUGGUGACCGAUAGUGCACUAGUACCGUGAGGGAAAGGUGAAAAGUACCCCGGGAGGGGAGUGAAAUAGUACCUGAAACCGUAUACCUACAAGCAGUGGAAGCCCGAUGCUCUCAACUUUAGUUGAGAGCUGGGUGACCGCGUGCCUUUUGUAGAAUGAGCCGGCGAGUUACGCUAACCAGCCAGGUUAAGCAGCUGCUGCUGCGGAGCCGUAGCGAAAGCGAGUCUGAAUAGGGCGUCUUAGUUGGUUGGCGUAGACCCGAAACCGGGUGAUCUAUCCAUGGCCAGGGUGAAGCCUGUCUAACCGCAGGUGGAGGCCCGCACCCACUAAUGUUGAAAAAUUAGGGGAUGAGCUGUGGAUAGGGGUGAAAGGCCAAUCAAACCCGGCGAUAGCUGGUUCUCCUCGAAAUAGCUUGAGGGCUAGCCUCAAACGUUGUCCCAGGGAGGUAGAGCACUGAAUGGACUAAGGGCCCUACCAGGUUACUGAACCCAAUCAAACUCCGAAUACCCUGGGUACUAGUUUGGGAGUCAGACUGCGGGGGAUAAGCUCCGUAGUCGAGAGGGAAACAACCCAGACCAUAAGCUAAGG
Molecule: ribosomal RNA, 2419 nt
Filed under: uncultured Atribacterota bacterium
Lineage: Bacteria; Pseudomonadati; Atribacterota
Description: bacterial LSU rRNA
Rfam family: Bacterial large subunit ribosomal RNA (bases 1310-2419)
Source: RNAcentral